AGAGAGGUUAACCUGGCUGAUAAGCAAAACCAAAAACACAGUAGCAGUGUCGCUGGUGACACUCUACACAAACUUCCAGGGUCCCUUAUAUUUUCAAUAAUGUUGCCCCUAGGGCAGCACGCUGGCCUCACACCUCCAUGGUCAGGGGAUUCGGUCUCAUCGCUACUCUGUGUUUGUGGAGUUUGCGCGUCUAAAUGGUCAUCCAGUUUCUUCCCAUAGGCCAAAGAGACAGGCACUGAGGUCGAAUGGAGGAACUUGGAUUAGCUGAGACAUUGUAAGACCCUGUGCUGUGACCCCCAAGCUAUGAAGAGCAAGAUGCUGUUGGUGAACAGAAGCACUCCAAUGUACCUGUACUUGCUCGCAAAUGACAAAUAAAGCUUGUUUGUUUGUUGUUUAAAGUUGAAACAUACUUGUGGAAUGUUUAAUGAACGAUAUGAACCUAUA
Paramormyrops kingsleyae is the source of this 444-nucleotide long non-coding RNA. RefSeq lists it as uncharacterized. The record is from RefSeq and is a predicted model, not a curated record. NCBI's taxonomy places the organism in Eukaryota, Metazoa, Chordata, Actinopteri, Osteoglossiformes, Mormyridae.